This 410-nucleotide ribosomal RNA is filed under the name uncultured bacterium. RNAcentral's name for it is "bacterial SSU rRNA". It matches the Rfam family "Bacterial small subunit ribosomal RNA", at positions 370 to 772 of the family's 1533-position model. The record is from RNAcentral.
AAUGGGGGAAACCCUGAUGCAGCCAUGCCGCGUGUGUGAAGAAGGCCUUCGGGUUGUAAAGCACUUUCAGCGAGGAGGAAAGGUCAGUAGCUAAUAUCUGCUGGCUGUGACGUUACUCGCAGAAGAAGCACCGGCUAACUCCGUGCCAGCAGCCGCGGUAAUACGGAGGGUGCAAGCGUUAAUCGGAAUUACUGGGCGUAAAGCGCACGCAGGCGGUUGGAUAAGUUAGAUGUGAAAGCCCCGGGCUCAACCUGGGAAUUGCAUUUAAAACUGUCCAGCUAGAGUCUUGUAGAGGGGGGUAGAAUUCCAGGUGUAGCGGUGAAAUGCGUAGAGAUCUGGAGGAAUACCGGUGGCGAAGGCAGCCCCCUGGGCCGAUACUGACGCUCAUGCACGAAAGCGUGGGGAGCAAA